Molecule: ribosomal RNA, 468 nt
Filed under: uncultured bacterium
Lineage: Bacteria
Description: partial 16S ribosomal RNA
Rfam family: Bacterial small subunit ribosomal RNA
Source: RNAcentral
GACGAACGCUGGCGGCGUGCUUAACACAUGCAAGUCGAACGGAAAGGCCCUGCUUUUGUGGGGUGCUCGAGUGGCGAACGGGUGAGUAACACGUGAGUAACCUGCCCUUGACUUUGGGAUAACUUCAGGAAACUGGGGCUAAUACCGGAUAGGAGCUCCUGCUGCAUGGUGGGGGUUGGAAAGUUUCGGCGGUUGGGGAUGGACUCGCGGCUUAUCAGCUUGUUGGUGGGGGAGGGGCUUACCAAGGCUUUGAAGGGUAGGCGGCCUGGGAGGGUGAACGGCGACAUGGGGCCUGCGGGGCGGCCCAGACUCCUACGGGAGGCAGCAGUGGGGAAUAUUGCACAAUGGGCGGAAGCCUGAUGCAACAACGCCGCGUGCGUGAUGACGGCCUUCGGGUUGUAAACCGCUUUCGCCUGUGACGAAGCGUGAGUGACGGUAAUGGGUAAAGAAGCACCGGCUAACUACGUG